The submitters of this non-coding RNA (186 nucleotides) gave its source as unclassified sequences. The record is from Rfam.
UUCUGGUCAAGCUGGUUCCAAAUCCACAUUCUUGGCAGCUUGAUAACAAAAAAGGAGGGUAAACCCAUUGUCCGGGAGACUCCCGGUGCGGCAUUGUGGAGACAUGCCGUAAUACGUUCGCCAAGCCCGGCGUUCGUGAGAAUGCGCCUUGCGGAGGCAGCGCAGUCAGAGUCAGAACCUAUGGCA